Pan troglodytes (chimpanzee) is the source of this 3995-nucleotide long non-coding RNA. RefSeq lists it as uncharacterized. The record is from RefSeq and is a predicted model, not a curated record. NCBI's taxonomy places the organism in Eukaryota, Metazoa, Chordata, Mammalia, Primates, Hominidae. The transcript is spliced from 2 exons.
ACAGUCAUUCUUCCACACAUAGAGGACAAAUAAGCUCAAGAGGAGGAUCUAGAUGCUUUCAGUUUUAACUAUUCACCAAUGGUGGAAAAGGCAGAAUGCCUAAGCUAUGUCUUUGUGGCCAAUAGGAUAGCUCUGUAUCUCUCACAUGACUCACUGCCCCUGUCUUUCACAUGGGCUGUAAUUUAGUUCAAUUCAGAACUGCAGAUAGUACAGCUUCCACAGGAGCAAGGGAUGUCUGAGCACAAGUGGCUGAGUUCCGAGUGACUUUAUGAAGCACUUUCUACCUUCCUCUCCGGCAUGAAAACAGGGAUUCUGCACCUGCAUCAUGGACAGUCUGGCAAAAGCCUCUGCUCUGCCUCCGGGGACAAGAAACUAGAGCAAAUAACCGUUUUGAAAUUAGAUCCUGGCAAAAUUACCAACAAUCAAUGAUGGAAACUGAAGGGAGAUUGAUUUAAAUCUUCAAUGACAGUUGUACAGAAGUUGAAGAAACACGUCAUCUUUCCAAAGAAGAGUGAGUAGCUUGGUUGGUGGUACCCUAAAAUUAGGGCAUGAUUAAGGUACGUCAUUUCUUUUAGUUCAAUCAAAGUGCUUUGCUGUUUCCAUUUCAGAGAAUUUCUUAUUCGUUUUUUCAAUGUCUCUCUCUUCCUCUUCUUCCUCUCAUUAGUAGAUGUCUUUUAUAAUUGAUGUCAUUUACUGUCCUUUAAUCAAAUGUAUGCCACAUCACUUACGCGAACCAGCAGACCGGGCACCAAAAUACACAUUAGAGGAGACUGGCUUCCAUGAGACGCUUCGACUGUCUCAUCGGGGCACUUGUAAUAAGCAUCUUGGUGCCACUGAAUGCAAUGCUGUAUUCAAAUAAUAGCUUUCAUCUUCACUCUUUUUAAAUAUAAAAGUAAACCUUGAAGCCCUUUGAAGGACCUAACCAAACAACAUACCUAUGAAAAUAGAUCAGUAAGGCUUUGAGAAACAUUCUUAAGUAAAAUCUGUAAAGCAUCUUUGCAUUUUUUUUCAAGAAAGACCUCCAGGUAAAUGAUGGCUUUUAAUAAGACACAUGACAAUCUCAAUUACAAGAAUCAUUAGUGUGUGUCCUGUGCGCCAUUUUAUGUUCCCAGCAGGAUAUAUCUUUUCUCGUCUAGGGUUUCCAGGGCUGUCUACUGUUCUCUAUGUGUAAAACGUAUUUAAGUGUUCCCCCAAUGCUGCACUAAUGUUGAAACAAAACAGAACAAAAACGAAGAAACCUUUGUCAAGUGGUCAGACAGACUGGAACUAGAGGAUUAUAGGUAAGAGAGAUAAAAUGAAGGGUUGAAAGCUAUAAUUUCUAUUUAUGUGGUGGCAACCAAAUCAGCUGUUGGAGUCAGGCAAUUUAAAGAUGUGGCUACUGGAGCUCAGAGUCUGGGAAGAAGACACUUCUGCGUCUGACAGUGAAUCAGGCUCCCAGUUUUGAAGAUGUGCUGUAGGUAGUUCUCGCUGAAUCCAUUUCCCAGUUGGUUUCUAUUCCCUGCCCCAUUCCUGUGUCCCCACACUUUCCACUUGAUUUUACCUCUUUGACAAUUCUAUAUUUUACUUUCCUUCCUCUCAUUCCUCUUUUCCCACCCCCUUUUUUUACUGUAGUUCUUGGCCUCUGACUACUGUUCCAUGCUGGAUGUCCCCAGAAAAUAGAGUAUGUUUAGAAAGGAGACAGUGCAUCUCAGAAGGGCCUCCCCAGUCCACUAGUCCAUUUUUUAAUGUGUUGUGCUGUAUGGGUGUCAGGAAUAUUUGUAGAUGAAGUAAUUUGAGGCAUGAAUUUUGAUAGAAGCAGGAUCACCAACAAAAUGAUAAAUGUAGGUACCUGUCUACCUUGCAUAAUAUUCACUAUGAUCUUGAGAAUUUCAAUGUAUAAUUUGUCUUUAUUCUUAUUUUUCAUUAGAAUUAACAGAAUCUCAGAGCUGGUAGAAAGUAUAGAAACUGUAUAUACAACUCUCAUAUUCAGAUGAAGAAAAUGAUGCACAAAAAAUCAACUGUCCUAAGCCAUUCAGCUUGUCUAUAAGUGCUGUUGGCUUAAUUAUAGUUUUGCAUAUAUUUAGGCAAAGAAAACACUUUCUCAGAAACUGGUUAGGACUGUUUGAGAAGAAAUAUAAUCAUCAAAAUAUAUACACAGUAAAAUGUAACCGUCCAUCAUUCAACAUAGGCAAGAAUAUAUAUUGAAUUGCCUGAGUGUAUUAUUCGUAUAGCAAAACUUACUUGAAUUUCUAAUAAAUCUUCUGACCUCUGUAUAUGUAUAAAAUAUAUAAACCAACCAAAUUCUGUACAUAAAUAUAUUUUUGGAUACCAGUACAAUCCCUAUUUCACUUUUGUGUAUUCCAGUUAUUUAUUACUCACAGUUCUGUAGUUUUAACCAGAACAAAGGGAUUACCCAGAAGAAAAGAAGGUAAGCUAUUUCAUCAGUUUUGGUGGAAAUCAGAAGUUUUUUUUUCUAUUAUUAGCUUUGUAUUCUUAAAAAAGAAAAAAGAAGGAGAAAAAAAAAUCUCAUCUUCUCAUUUAUAAGAAUUCCCAUAAAAUUUGGCAGUGGUGAGGUGGGGAGGAAAUGCAUUACCAAUAAACAGCUAGAUCCUAUUAUUGGAGACAAUCAGUUUUAUUCUGCAGAAAAUAUAGUUUGUUCUUGAAGAUUUAAUAGAUAUAAUAUUUUUUAAACCAACAUAUUAAAUAUACCAGUAAAUAUUUUUGUUAAACAAGGCUUUUAAAAUUUAAAUUUUACCCCUAAACUGGCUUUCUAGUUUUUCUGGAGAAAUAAAGAAAUUUUAAAGGAAAUAUCCACUCAGAUUAAUACUGCAAAUAUCAUACAAAAAUGUGUGUGGUGAUAUUACUGAAAAUGAGGAUUUUUGAAAACUAGAAGAGCAAAUAGUCAUUGCUCCAAAAGGCUUCAAGACUGCCUUAGGAUUAACAAUGCAAGUCUUCAAUGUAUUUAGGUAAUCAUAAUUUGAUUAGCUUUCUAAACCUAAACAUAUUUUGAUUCAAAUGUUUAAAAUAUGGUCAUCUCUUCAGUUAAAGAUGAACAUUUUGAUGAAAUAACAAUACUUAAAGCGUUCUCCAUCUCCACAAUUAAGUGCUACCUGUUAUUUAUUCAGAGCAUAUGUUUCAGUCUCAAAACACCAAGGACACAUCUCAGUGAAAUAAAAAUAAUCACUUUUUUUAAGAAAUCAGAAUCAUGUGGCAGUCGGCAGGCUUAAUUUAUAUUUUAUGGUCUCCAAAUUCAGAUGAAUAUCAUCAAGAUCUGAAUUGUCUCAAUGGCUGUCAUAAUUUAAAUAAUAAUAUAUCAAAAAUAUACACUACUAUCAUAUAAUUAAUUUGUAUAUAUGGAAAAUUGAAUUCUCUUAGCCAAAAGAGUACAGGGAAAUCAUCACAAAGGAGGAUGAACAUGAUUAUUUUUUCCUGUUACUUCUAUAGACUUCUCUGUAACAACUGAUAUGAAGAUAUCAUCAGAGUUUGUAGGUGUGCAGUAUCUGUGGUGUUAAUAAAGGUAUCUAUAAUCAAAUAUAGCAGAAAUAAUUAGGCUUCACGCCAACUGCCUUUCCUAGAAUCUUCAGGGACAGGAAGUGCAGCUGUGUAUCACCUGCCCAUAUUCUACAAAUAGCACUGAAGGAUAUAACUCAAUGAAACUUGAAAUCAGAUUGCACAAAAAUACAUUAUUCCCAAUUUUCUAUUUUUAUAUUGCUAGAUAAAUUGUAAAUUCACAGCAACAUUUGUCUACUGUUAACUUUAUGUUGCAAAAUUACACUAAAUUUUGAGUGACAUCUUUAGCCAGGGGAGCCUAGAAACAUCCUUUGGCUAAAAAAUAAAAAGGUUAUAAUGUACAGUAGAGAAAACAUUUCUAGAAAAUAUGCCUUUCACUGUGCCUUUAAAAACCAAGAAUUUUUUAAAGGCACAGUGAAAGGUAUAUUUUGAUCAACAGCUUAUAUUGUUUAGAAAUUUGGCUGUGGUUUAGUAUUUUGUCAACUAAUUGUCAAUCACAAAGAAAA